AACGAACGCUGGCGGCAGGCUUAACACAUGCAAGUCGAGCGCCCCGCAAGGGGAGCGGCAGACGGGUGAGUAACGCGUGGGAACGUACCUUUUGGUUCGGAACAACUCCGGGAAACUGGAGCUAAUACCGGAUAAGCCCUAACGGGGAAAGAUUUAUCGCCGAAAGAUCGGCCCGCGUCUGAUUAGCUAGUUGGUGAGGUAACGGCUCACCAAGGCGACGAUCAGUAGCUGGUCUGAGAGGAUGAUCAGCCAGACUGGGACUGAGACACGGCCCAGACUCCUACGGGAGGCAGCAGUGGGGAAUAUUGUACAAGGGGCGCAAGCCUGAUCCAGCCAUGCCGCGUGAGUGAUGAAGGCCUUAGGGUUGUAAAGCUCUUUUGUCCGGGAAGAUAAUGACUGUACCGGAAGAAUAAGCCCCGGCUAACUUCGUG
This 431-nucleotide ribosomal RNA is filed under the name uncultured bacterium. Its description in RNAcentral is "partial 16S ribosomal RNA". It matches the Rfam family "Bacterial small subunit ribosomal RNA", at positions 29 to 507 of the family's 1533-position model. The record is from RNAcentral.